AACCUUUUUUACAUUUUUUGAAUACCUUACAAAAAGUUGUUUACUGCAAUUUUUCUAGAACCCAUGCAUUAUCUUUGAUGCCAGUUCAGUGUUUUCAUUCCAGUGUUUUGUGACUAUGCCCUUUUAUGUGAAAUUGUCAUAAUACUUCAUGUCAUACAUUCUUAAAAAAAAAAUGUUAUCAUUCUGGGAGAAUUUAAAGUUUGAAUCAAAUAAUAAUUGCAGGGAUAUUUCACCUUAUAUAAAAGAGGCCAUGGGCUGAUUAAAGGCCUCUUCCCAUUGAAAACUUUCGUUAAAAGCAUACAGUUUUGCCCUAAAUGAAAACUAACACCACCUUUUUCAUUCCCAAAUUAGCUAUUAAAAUGAUAAUUCUUCCCCAAAUCAAUUAGCUAGGGCCUCUUUCUGACAUAAAAUGAAAAUAAACACUAAAUUGUUGAUGGAUUUUUAUGUAUAUACAUUUGACAAACAAGUAAUUGAGAAAGUUAUCUUUUUCUAUCCUUUAUCCAAUUUUUAGCUCGGCUGUUUUCAGAGAAAACCCGAGGUAUUGUCAUAGCCAGCUCGUCAUCCUACGUCCGCGUUGUGCUAAAACCUUUACAUUAUGUUAAGGUUUUGAACAUUGGCUCUGAAAUCAAAGUGCUUCAACCUACAACUUUGAAACUUCACAUGUAGCUGCACCUUGAUGCGUUCUACAUGCCACACCCAUUUUUGGGUCACUAGGUCAAAGGUCAAGGUCAUUGUGACCUAAAAAAAAUAAAUUCUGACAAGCUUUCAUUUAUUAAAAACUGCACCCGCAGCCGAGCGUGGCACCCGUUAUGCGGUGCUCUUGUUACAUGUAUGCUAUGAAGUUGUUAAUGGUACCCGUGAACAGCAACAAAGAGGUGAAAAAUUAUUUCAGUUUUAUGAAAUAUGUUCAAAAAUCAUACUCAUAAAUUGAUUGAAUUUCAUAAUUCCAUGCUGGUUCUUUAUGAUCUGUCUUAAGAUCAGUUUGAUUCAUUCAUCUUAGCUCAAUGUACAAAUAGUUGCUUUAAUUGAUGUAAAUACACAAUUGUGAACAACUUUUCAUAUUAUCUUGCAGUUAAAUCUGAUGAUACUGUUUCCUUCAAUACAAAUGAGUUGUUUUUGUGCAUAGUAAUAUUAGUGAGUAUAUCUUAGAAGUAUGUACAUGUAUUAGUUAUUGGAUUGUGAUUAGGUCUAGAAAACAAUACAUGACAGUUGCAUGUGAUAGUGUUGUGAUAUUUGUAUUUAUAGCCCUCUGUCUUCUAAAAAAUAAUUAUAGAUCUACAUAACUGUUAAUUUUAAUACUCUAAUGCCAUUAUUUUCUAGCAUAUAGGUUAGCUUAGUUUGUAGAAUGCUGGACUACAAAUCAGAGAAUGGCAAGUUCAAUCCUGUGCCCUGCCACAAAACUGGUGUAAAGAUUGGCCACAUUAUCCUUUCUACUGCCAUUUCCCCGCUACCUCAGAUUCAAGAGGUAGUUUUUCAGUUACUGGCAUAAGUGUAUGAAUUUGUAUAAAGCUGUCGAUAUAAUUGAAAAAAACAUUUGAAAGCCGCAAAGAAAAUCAGAUAAACUAAAAAAAACAAAAAACUAACAUUUGCCAGUUUUUGUCUGAAACUAUUUGAUAUUGUCAAGUCUUUGCAACCCCAUGUAAAAAAACAAUCAUAGAAGUAAAUGAUCCUUAAAUGAAGGACUUUGUCUGUUGUUUAGAUAGUCUCAUAGCUCCUUUAUUUGGUAUCCUUAAAAGAAAUGUGGUGUCUGUUGUUAGUAGUUAUUUCAGGUUUUUAUGCCCCCGGUAGGGUGGCAUAUAGCAGUUAAACUGUUAGUCCGUUUGUCUGUCUGUCUGUCUGAUUGUCUGUCUGUCUGUCUGUGUGUCCCUUCGAAAACUUUACAUUGGCCAUAAUUUUUGCAAUAUUGAAUAUAGCAACUUGAUAUUUGGCAUGCAUGUUUAUCUCAUGAAGCUGCACAUUUUGAGUGGUGAAAGGUCAAGGUCAUCUCUCAAGGUCAAAAGUAAAAAAAAUACAAUCCAAGGGAAGUAAUAAGCUUUAAAAGGGAGAUAAUUUCUAAACCUGCCAAAUGAUAUAUUGAAAUUUUAUUUCAAAGCGGCGCAAUAGCGGGCAUUGUGUUUCUGACGAACACAUCUCUUGUUUAAAUUGUAUUUCCUUAUCAAACACCUUUUAUACGUUUCAUAAACAGUCAUUCCUGUAAUGUAAAACUUUUACUACCUAGAGAUUGUUCAUCAUAAUCAUUUUUUGGCAGCAUAUAUUUUAUUUGUCUUAUAUUUGGUACUAGGUUCAGGCUAUGCAUUAAGACAGCUACUAGUAUCUUUUAUUGUUACAUGUCCAGAAACAAAAUACCCUAACAAGCCUGAACAAUCUCAAUAAAGAUUCAAAUACUAGUUUAGUAAUCAAAAUUUUGCAGUGACAUAUACUGCUUUCUUAAUAUAUAAUAAAUUUAUAAAUAAUAUUGAGUUGGAUAACUUAAGAACAAUAUUCUAUUAUAUUUUCACUUCUUUUAGACAAGUUCAAACUUGUUAUCAGAACUUAAAAAAAUGUUUUUUAGAAGUUGAUUUGUAGAUAAUUUGUUAUUGAUAUAGUUUUCUGGGGAGGCAACUUUCACGCGGGCUAUUGACAAUAUUAACUAUAUACAUGUUAUUGCUUUACAGACCACACUGUACUGUAGUUGCACCCCAUUGUUUUUGUGCAGGAUGAAACUCCAACUUUGUUAAACACUUCAUUUCUCAAGUCAUUAUGGAAAGUAGGAAAGGUGUAAGUUAGUCUGCAUUAAAGAAACUUAAUAUAACUACUGGUACAUUGUGUUUAAUUGUGUUGAUCUGACUUUAAGUUUGGACGAGACAUAAUGUUUGACAAGAAGCAUGUUGGGCUUUUUAAUGCAUAAAAUCAAUUAAAUUAUGAAAAAACCUGUCUAUUGCAUAAUAUGGAAGAUGUCUAGUCAUGCGUUAUAACAAAAACAUGUAUUUUUGAACUUCUUGUCACUGAUAAACUAUUGUAUUAUGGUAACAUGCAAAUAAAAAGUUUAAUAAUUUAUCUGACCUAAACUAGCAGUAUAUCCUACACUUGAUGUCAAAGUCACAUGUUACAGUAUUUUUAAUUAAUAAUCACCGUAAAAGAAAGCAAAAUGUAUUCUAUUACUUGGGUUUUUAUUGAAUGAACAUUCUAAAUUUAAAAAGCGCUGCUUUUGUUCCACACUAUAAUUUAAUUGCCAUAUAUACUAUCACCCUUUAACGCUGAAAAGCGAUUCCUUUCCAAGUUAUAGCAGUUGAUAUUGCAGUUUGAUAUGGUAAUUAUUAACUAUGAAGCAAAACAAAAGAGCAAUUAUGUGUAAUACAUCGUUUAGUUACAAAGUUUUAACAGAUUAUGAACUCCAUUACAUACCUCUACCCAACACUUAGAAACCCAUACAACCAGACAAUGUUUACAUAUUUCUUAAGUAUUUAGUGCCAUGUUAUAUUACCAAAUUGUUGUGUUUGAAAUAUUAUUAGAUUUGAAGAAUAUAACUGUACUGUUGUAUAACUUAGCAUGUUAUCGUCACUGUAUUUUUGUAAACAUAUCUAUGUAUUUAAAUAUAGAUUAAAUUUGAAUGCUUAUAAUUGAAACUUAUUUACAAUUACUAGUAAAAUUGUUUGCAUUAUUUUUAGCUCACCUGUCACGAAGUGACAUGGUGAGGUUAUGUGAUCGUGUGAUGUCCGGGGUCGGUAUGUGUGUGCAUGUGUCCGUCAACAUUUUCUUUGUGUAAACAGUAGAGGUCACAGUUUUCAUCCAAUCUUUAUGAAAUUUGGUCAGAAUGUUUAUCUUCAUGAAAUCUGGGUUGGUAUUGUAUUUGGGUCACCUGUGGUCAAAAACUAGGUCACUAGGUCAAAUAAUAGAAAAACCUUGUGUAGGCAAUAGAGGUCACAGUUUUUCAUCUAAUCUUUAUGAAAUUUGGUCAGAAUGUUUAUCUUGAUGAAAUCUGGGUUGGGAUUGUAUUUGGUUAGUCAGGUGAGCGAUUCAGGGCCAUCAUGGCCCUCUUGUUUUGUUUUAACCUGAUAACUUGCACAUAAUCAAUAAGGUCUAUUGUUUUUUCGUAGCAUUGUAAAAAUCAUCUUCGCUUCAUGCAUUGGUAUCAAUCGUAAAUCAUGUAAUUACUAUUUUGUAUAAUCUAUAUAACUAUACAUUUGUUUUCCAUUUGUGUAAUGUUCCAUACUCUAUGUAAAUAAUAUAAUUUUACAGUUAUUUUGUGUGUACGUUUAUAAUAUUUUCGUUUCUUUUAUUAAUUCUCCGUUGCAAAGCUGAUGGGGUUAUUAUAGGAAUGCCUUUAUUCCGUCUGCCCUUAACAUUGUUAAGGUCAUUAAGAAGAUGUUCAGUAGGUAUGAGCCAGGAACGCUUGCCCAAUGUCAAUGUGAUAGUGUAAGGUCUAAAAUGUGCACCUCUGUUUUCGUGUCCAAUCCACAUCUCCUAUUCCAUAAAAGGAUUUUCAGACAACUUUGCUACAGUGUUUAGGUCGUUGAGGUGCCAGAGAUGUGCAAAACGCAUAAAUCGGUCAUGCCCGCUCAAGGUUUAUGUCCACUUUGAGUCUCCAUUUCUGCUCCAUAUCUGCUAUGCCCUCUGGAGAAUUUUUAAUGGAACCCUGCCUAAAUGUUAACGUUAUUUAGACAAUGGUCAGAUGGCAUGAGUUUGUCAUGCCGGUUCAAAGUCAAUGGUUAGGUUUUUAAGACAAUGGUCAGAUGGCAUGAGUUUGUCAUGCCGGUUCCAGGUCAAGGGUUAGAUUAUUUAGACAAUGGUCAGAUGGCAUGAGUUUGUCAUGCCGGUUCGAGGUCAAGGGUUAGGUUAUUUAGAAAAUGGUCAGAUGGCAUGAGUUUGUCAUGCCGGUUCAAGGUCAAGGGUUAGGUUAUUUAGAAAAUGGUCAGAUGGCAUGAGUUUGUCAUGCCGAUUUAAGGUCAAGGGUUAGGUAAUUUAGACAAUGGUCAGAUGGCAUGAGUUUGUCAUGCCGGUUUCAGGUCAAGGGUUAGGUUAUUUAGAAAAUGGUCAGAUGGCAUGAGUUUGUCAUGCCGGUUUCAGGUCAAGGGUUAGGUUAUUUAGAAAAUGGUCAGAUGGCAUGAGUUUGUCAUGCCAGUUCAAGGUCAAGGGUUAGGUUACUUUGACAAUGAUCAGAUGGCAUGAGUUUGUCAUGCAGGGUCAAGGUUUAGGUUAUUUUGACAAUUGUCAGAUGGCGUGAGUUUGUCAUGCCGGUUCAAGGUCCAGAUCAAGAUUUGUGAGAAAGGUUUUUAGCUACCAUUUUUUGCUGCAUAUACAAUUUAAUAUUGGUGGGUUUUCAUGAAUUUUGGUCACAAUGUUAAGCUUAUUUAUCAAAUGUGUAAAAGGCAUUACGAAAUAACACUUGCUCAACGUCAAGAAGAUGUCCAGCAGUCACCAGUCGAUAACACUGGCCCAAACUCAAUGUCACCACCAUUUAAUCUCUUCGAGGGAUAAAGCUGUCUCUUGGACUGUAGUAUUUUGUUGUGUAUUUUUCAUGUAGCCACACACUUUUGUAUUAUAAAUAAAAACACAUUUUGUAAAACUUCUUUUUGUCUUCAACCCCGACUUCUUUAAACGAUUUAUGUUGGUAACUGACUUUUUAACUAAAUAUACAUUAUUGUAUGGUACACUUUUGUUUUUACAAUGGCCCUUGUUUCUGAGCAAAAUGGACGAAAAAGACACUGAAAGUAGACAAAAUCACUGGCUACAGCAUAUACAUUGCAUUUAAAAUGCAAAGUACGUCUGUGAAUCCGCCAAUGCUCAUGGGUUUAUGCUGUUAAGUUAACUUAGAUAAUUUUUGGUAAACUGUGCAUGCUAUUUAUUAAGCUGUGUUUGCUAUUUGUUCAACUAAGAGAGCCCAUGUGUGUGGAAUUUAGUAAUUGACCAUUAGAUGUUCAUUGGUAACACAGGGUGUUUUCAAUUAUAUUUUAAAAUUGAACUUUUACAUUUUUAUUUUUUCAGUCUGAACUUUUUUAUUUAUUACGAGCUUUUUUUUUAAAUAGCAAAUUUUGAAACAACUAUAUAAUAUACAAUUUUAAUUUUCAACCAGUUCCCAUUUGUUCACAUUCAUGUAGAAAAAUAAUGGUAAAACAAAGUUGAUCCUGCGUUCAUGUUAAUGCUCACUGUUUAAAUUUCAUAAUCUUUUUUCUUGGUAACAAUUUUCCAAUGUUUCAAUUAAAUUAAAUUUAUUUCAAACAUCUGUCUUUCGACAAUCGAUGAGACCAAAUUUAUACAUAUCACUUUAUGUUUUGCGUAACAUUUAUACUUCAUCACAAUAAAGCUCAAAUGUU
Molecule: long non-coding RNA, 6293 nt
Organism: Dreissena polymorpha
Lineage: Eukaryota; Metazoa; Mollusca; Bivalvia; Myida; Dreissenidae
Exons: 2
Source: RefSeq, a predicted model, not a curated record